Molecule: ribosomal RNA, 253 nt
Filed under: uncultured bacterium
Lineage: Bacteria
Description: partial 16S ribosomal RNA
Rfam family: Bacterial small subunit ribosomal RNA
Source: RNAcentral
GACAGAGGGUGCUAGCGUUGUCCGGAAUUAUUGGGCGUAAAGGGCUCGUAGGCGGUUUGUCGCGUCGGGAGUGAAAACUCAGGGCUUAACCCUGAGCCUGCUUCCGAUACGGGCAGACUAGAGGUAUGCAGGGGAGAACGGAAUUCCUGGUGUAGCGGUGAAAUGCGCAGAUAUCAGGAGGAACACCGGUGGCGAAGGCGGUUCUCUGGGCAUUACCUGACGCUGAGGAGCGAAAGUGUGGGGAGCGAACAGG